UCCCUUCUUUGGUACUUAUAAUAACGUAGUUGUUAGGUUACUUGAAUUGUGUCUCUGAACUGUUGAAAUAUUGAUUUGGAGGCUGCUAUUUCCACAAUGUUGUAACAAGUUAUUGUUAGGAAUAUUUCCUAGUUAGAUUUCUUGGUUCUUUAUUAAGUUUUCUUUGGCAAGUUUGUAUCUAAUAUUAGUAUAAUGAUGGGAAACACCCUAGCGGAGAGUCUCUAUUUUUAAGAUUUAAACUCAUCUUGCAUUGUUGUGGAAUUGGUUGGGAUGAUUUCAUGAUGAAUAUUGAAGAUCCAAUCACUAUUAAGUAGGGGAUAUACUAUAUAUUUGAUGGCUGGAUUUUUACAUAUUUGUCAGGUUACAUGAUUUAGUGGUUGAAUUUAUAUACAUGUCGUAUUGUAUGACGGCAGACAAUUCGAAUGAUAUUUUUACUAGAAAAUAGCUAGUUGCGAUGAGUUCGUAUUGAAAAGCACAAUCAAUAGAUGCUUAUUGGAGUUAACAUAAUCCAUAGAUGCUUAUUGGAGUUAACUAAGUGCUGUCAAAGAUUAAUGUGGAAAUGUUUCUCAAAGAAGCAAAAUAGAUAGUUUUAUCAAAAAGACAAAAAAAAAAGAAGCAAAAUAGAUAGUAUGGUUCGUGAAUGGGCAGAUUGUGGGCCUGUUGGGAAUUAUGAUAGGCACUAAGAUGGCAUAGGACCACUAGGGUGGGGGAGAUGAGUGCUGAAACGGGCUUACACGAAGAGAGGGGGAGUGGCAGUGGAGAGCCUCUGAGCUCAUUGGGGGUGGUAAAUAUGGUUGUCAUGUAUAUAUUCAUGUGUGGGGGUGGAUUCCUCCUUUUUAGGAGGGUCAAGGCAUGGAGGCCACCCUUGCAUAGCGUGCCAAGGACAAGUGGGUUAUCCCCUUGACCUAACUCUGCCAAUGUUCAAGUUUUCGGAUCAUAUUAAGCAGUUACAAUGUACAAGUGGUAGGUAUGAUACACCUUACGAGGCAUCUCAUGUCUUGGUAAAAUUUGGCCUUGUCUUCAUUUGGAUUGUCUCUCUUUCCAAGACUUUCGUUCAAGGUGGCAGGGCACCUUGAUGAUUCUCAACUCUAGCCUUUAAGUCACAAAUCUUUUGAGAUCCUAAGCUUUGGUCAAGGCUUGCUUGGGCGGCCCAUGACUGAGGCACCAACCCCGAGGUGGUUCUUAGGCCCUUUUCCUGACAUAAGCAAACAUAACAACAGAAGGGUGCCAUUUGGAGUGGAGAACUACUUAAGUGAAUUGAGGAGGCCUAGUGCAAGUGUUUGUAGGUACAUGCUAGGGUGGAGAGCCACUUGGUCGAGCCGAGGGGUGCUGAGUGUGUCAAUCAUGAGUGGAGGGUGACAUGCUCGAGAUGAGAGUCACUUGGCCAAAAGUGAGUGUGCCUAUGCAAGCGACUCUGGAAAUGCCCUAUGCCUCAUGGCUCAACCCUGGAGGGGGGAGCAUAUGGAGAUGUGAUUGGUCCACAUCUCAUCCUAGGAGACUUGGCAUGUGGACUAGUGGACCUCAAGUUGUGGAGAUGGUGAUGUGGUUCAUCAUGGAGGAGAUAUGGACACAUGUACCUACAUGUAUACACUUAACGGGCGUGUGAUAGUAAUGUGCUUAUACCAAGAGACUUGCCAACCUCUAACCAAGCUCUGAAGGUGAUGCCUUAAAACUGUAUAUACAUGUGUUGAUUUAUUUUGAUAGCAUUUAGUUUCAACGUUAGUCUUGGUGAAACAAAAUGUUUGCUCUACAAUUCUGUUAUGUUUACUGUGGAUAUAUUGUGACUCUGAAGAGAAUCUUUUGGAAAAAGUAAGGCUCAUUUUUUGAAGGUUUUUGUCCAUAUGUUUCCUUUUUUCUUUUUCUUAUGGCAACUUAUGACGGAAGAUAAUAUGAUUUCAAACAUUUCCUGCCACUUCCUGCCCCCUCUUUUAGUAAAGCAGUAUAAAGUAGUGGGAUGUGGCUUAUUUUUUGAAGGGUUUUUGUCUCUACGUUACCCUUUUUCUAUUUAUUGUGGCAACUUAUGAGAGAAGAUUAUAGUAUUUGAAACUCUUCCAAAUCCUUCUCUUAGAAAAGUGGGAUAAAACAAUUGGCUAUGCAGGAUAUCUUUGUUUGUGUUACCUUCUAUUUAAUGCAUUAUAUUAUCAAGAUAUUUUGAUAAUGCAGUGAGAUUCUUAUUUUUGCAAUAUUACCUUACACUCAUCUAUUGCAUUGUAUUCAUUUCAGUUGUUUACGUUAUGUCUCUUACAUGAUUAAUGAGUGAUUAUUAGCAUUAUACCUUUGUCAUUUUGCUCACAUUCAAUUGGUAAUUGAUUAGAAACCUUUUUCUAUUUUGCUGUGCUUCUCCCACUCUCUGUAGUGAGGAAAAAAUGGUUAGAACCUAUGUUAAAUGGCUUGGUUAUGUAAUUUUAGAUGUUGGUAUGUUUCUAAGUGUUUGUUUCGUCCAAUUCAUAAAGUCCAAGAUUCCAAGGACAUUGGGAUGUGGCUAAACGAUGAGAGUUCUUAGUAGUCAUCAUUUAUUUCCAUUGGUAUAAUGUGUUUUGUCUACAUAGACUGUUUAACUGGGGCACUUCAUUUAUUUUGAAAUAAAUAAAUAACAUAAUAAGGGAGAUUUAUGUAAAUUACACAAUAAAUUUGGAUUACUUUACUGUAUCCCAAGUAGAUGUGGUGGACAUAUUCCAUGCUCUCUCACUCACUUAUGUUUGACAUAAGGUACUGGCAAAAGGUGGGUUUGUUUUCUAUGGUCCCUUUCCCCGCGCUACUGCUGGCUUCGGUGGGAUUAUUACCCCCACUCCCGCCUUUAUGGGUAUCCACAUUGAGUCGGGUUAUUUCGAGUGGAGUUAUUUUUCAUUUUUAUAAGUAAAUUAAUUAAUCUCAUUAAAAUAAAACAUUAUAAAUCAAAUCUUCGCAUUACAAGCCAUCACCAAGUAUAACAAUACAACAAUUGACGUUUAAAACGUAAAAAUAAAAGUAUGGCUUAUAUAUUUUAGUGGAUUUUAAUAUACUUGGGUUGGGGUUGUGGUUGGGCACCCCUCUGCCCCUAAACCUUCAUCGGGUUAGGGGAAACCCACAUAUUUCGGGAACAUAUGGUGAAGCAAGUUAAAUGAUCCUGCUCUUACUGUAUUUCCAUCUCACACUUCAACUAUUUGGAUCAUCAUAUGGUGAAGCAAUUUAGAUGAUCGUACUUGUAUCGUGUUUCCAUGUAAAUUUGAUAUCAUGUGCCUAAUUUUUUUGGGUUUAUAACGUUACAAUCCAAGUCCAGUUUCUAGUGUUUUAGGGUUAACAUUGUCUAACAUUCCACAUUAAUUGAGCAAGUUGGAGAUUAAUCAUUUCUUAGUUUCAUGGCCAUGUUAUUAUUUUCCUAACCAUUCUUGAUUUUUCACAUAUUUUCUCUGUCGAUCCUUUCCAUUCCCUUCUUCUGGGAUAUGGUUUUUGUCUGUUAAGCUUUGGUGUUUCUUAUCAUUGUCUUCCUAAUUUGUGGAACUCCUUGUUGAUGCAUGAGAAUAGUUUGAGUAGAAGAGAUGAUGAUUCUUUUCACCACUUUGUGGUUGUUUUCAGAUUCUACAUUCUAAAAUUCUUUUUGCCACUUUGUGAUUGUUUUGCACAAGACUCUUUAGUUGAAGCAUGUUUCCUCAAGAGGAUUUGGCAAUAGUUUUCAAUUUGCUGCCAAUGCCUCUACACUUCGGUUCCAUCUUCUGUCUCUUGACAAUUACAAUCACUCCAUCUCUGACUAUUUAUUACAUGCCAAAUUCUUGCCUGAUUCCUUGAUUUCUAUUAGACAACUUGUGUCCAAUGCUGAUUUGGUGACAUAUGUUCUUUGUGGCUUAGGAUUGGGUUAUGAGAUGAUUACGCCUGCUACUUUGUAUUUUCCACCUUUACCUUCCUCUCAGUAUCUGCGGGCUUGCUUAUUGCCCUUUGAGGCUCAGACUUUGCUUCCUUCAUCGCCCCCUCAGAGAUUGCCCUUUUGGCUUAACAGGAUUUUGUUCCUUCUAGGGUUUCCACUACUACUUCUGCCCCUGAUACAACCUUAGCACUGGCAGCCAGAAUUGAAAUUGUCACUGUGAGUGCACCAACCAUUGUGGUUUGCUUCCAACUCCUAGUUCUCUUGCCUCUGUUUGUUAGUUAUGCAACAGUACUAGACAUGUCGCCCUUCAGUAUCCUUGUUGGUGAGCUCACCCUACUUCUUAUGCUCUCCAUCAUGCCUUUGCUGGUCUCCAGUUGACUCAGUCCUCUUCUUCAUCUCCAUACUUGACAUUUGGCUAUCAACUACAGGCUUCACCAAGAAUCGUGCCGCAUAUUGGACUUGGUUCAGUUUAUCUUGGCUACGGUACUCAUCUCCCUAUCCCCGGAACGGGCUUAUGCAAGG
Camellia sinensis is the source of this 4363-nucleotide long non-coding RNA. RefSeq lists it as uncharacterized. The record is from RefSeq and is a predicted model, not a curated record. Lineage: Eukaryota; Viridiplantae; Streptophyta; Magnoliopsida; Ericales; Theaceae.